Molecule: transfer RNA, 88 nt
Filed under: Candidatus Wolfebacteria bacterium
Lineage: Bacteria; Candidatus Wolfeibacteriota
Description: tRNA-Ser
Rfam family: tRNA
About the family: Transfer RNA (tRNA) molecules are approximately 80 nucleotides in length. Their secondary structure includes four short double-helical elements and three loops (D, anti-codon, and T loops).
Source: RNAcentral
GGAGGCGUGCGUGAGUGGUUGAAACGGCUUGUCUUGAAAACAAGUAUGCCGCAAGGCAUCGGAGGUUCGAAUCCUCUCGCCUCCUCAA